This 465-nucleotide ribosomal RNA is filed under the name Vreelandella stevensii. Its description in RNAcentral is "partial 16S ribosomal RNA". It matches the Rfam family "Bacterial small subunit ribosomal RNA", at positions 338 to 795 of the family's 1533-position model. The record is from RNAcentral. Lineage: Bacteria; Pseudomonadati; Pseudomonadota; Gammaproteobacteria; Oceanospirillales; Halomonadaceae.
CCUACGGGGGGCUGCAGUGGGGAAUAUUGGACAAUGGGGGGAACCCUGAUCCAGCCAUGCCGCGUGUGUGAAGAAGGCCCUCGGGUUGUAAAGCACUUUCAGUGAGGAAGAACGCCUGGUGGUUAAUACCCAUCAGGAAAGACAUCACUCACAGAAGAAGCACCGGCUAACUCCGUGCCAGCAGCCGCGGUAAUACGGAGGGUGCGAGCGUUAAUCGGAAUUACUGGGCGUAAAGCGCGCGUAGGUGGCUUGAUAAGCCGGUUGUGAAAGCCCCGGGCUCAACCUGGGAACGGCAUCCGGAACUGUCAAGCUAGAGUGCAGGAGAGGAAGGUAGAAUUCCCGGUGUCGCGGUGAAAGGCGAAGGGAUCGGGAGGAAUACCAGUGGCGAAGGCGGCCUUGUGGACUGACACUGACACUGAGGUGCGAAAGCGUGGGUAGCAAACAGGAUUAGAUACCCGUGUAGUC